RNAcentral lists this ribosomal RNA (465 nucleotides) under uncultured Burkholderiales bacterium. RNAcentral describes it as "partial 16S ribosomal RNA". Lineage: Bacteria; Pseudomonadati; Pseudomonadota; Betaproteobacteria; Burkholderiales. The record is from RNAcentral.
GACUACCGGGGUAUCUAAUCCUGUUUGCUCCCCACGCUUUCGUGCAUGAGCGUCAGUGCAGGCCCAGGGGAUUGCCUUCGCCAUCGGUGUUCCUCCGCAUAUCUACGCAUUUCACUGCUACACGCGGAAUUCCAUCCCCCUCUGCCGCACUCCAGCGAUGCAGUCACAAAUGCAGUUCCCAGGUUGAGCCCGGGGAUUUCACAUCUGUCUUGCAUCACCGCCUGCGCACGCUUUACGCCCAGUAAUUCCGAUUAACGCUUGCACCCUACGUAUUACCGCGGCUGCUGGCACGUAGUUAGCCGGUGCUUAUUCUUCAGGUACCGUCAUGACCCCGGGGUAUUAGCCCAGAGCUUUUCUUCCCUGACAAAAGCGGUUUACAACCCGAAGGCCUUCUUCCCGCACGCGGCAUGGCUGGAUCAGGCUUGCGCCCAUUGUCCAAAAUUCCCCACUGCAGCCCCCCGUAGG